This 1456-nucleotide unclassified non-coding RNA is filed under the name Hevea brasiliensis (rubber tree). The record is from RNAcentral. Lineage: Eukaryota; Viridiplantae; Streptophyta; Magnoliopsida; Malpighiales; Euphorbiaceae.
AUCUGAUUGGGCAAAUCUUGCUUUUUUUAUGCAUUUAAAUACGUGAGUCAAAUCUAUAACCUUGGGUAAAUUAUUUUUAUUUUUAGUGUUUAUUUUUUGUUUUUAAAUUAUUUGUUAGGAAAUCUCAAUUCCAUGUCUUUAGAUUUGAAAUAGCCUUAGUCUUUUACGUAUAUAAAAUUAAUAAGGUUGAUGGGCUACUUUUUCAUAUGUGUACUAUAUAUGGCAUGUCACUUUCAUUUGGUUUAUUUUAUUGGCCUAAUAAGUUUCCUGAUAGCGUCAUCUUUUAUUUUAAUCUUAAUUUUAUUUUUUGUCUCAUUGUACAUUAAUUCAUGCAUAUUUAUAAUUGAUUUAUUUUUCUAUUUGGUAAAAUGAAGUACUAACUAGAUUAUGGUAAAAUUUAGAGCUUCUAAUUAAGUUUUGGGUAUUUUUAGAUGCGAACACAAAUGGUGGUCCAUACAAUGUGAUUCUCAUUUUUUAAUCCUAAUGUUUUAUUCUAUUUAAUUUCUUCUUAUUUUAAUUUCAUACCAAACUUUUUUUUUUGUGCUUGAAUUUGAUACUUGUCUUUUGAAAAUAUUAGAAGAUUGAAUAAGAGGAAUUAAAAUCAAAGUCCCAAACUUGAAAUCUAAAAUUUCAAAUAAGUUUUAUUAAUUUUGUGCCUUAAAUUUUGGUGUUAUUUUUCUUGCUUUAAUAUUUUGUUCUUUUGAGCAUAAAAAUAUUAAAUAAGGCAUGAAUGGAUGAAAAGAAAUUUUAAAAGGAAUCAAAGCAAGUAAAAGGAGAUCAAACAUGGUCAAAAGAAAAGAGGAGUUGAGCAUGGAGGCAUAAGCUGAAAAUUGGAACGAAAUGCACUGCAUAAGAAUUCAAGGCCCCUUGCAUGGGGUAAAAGCCUAAAAAAGCCAAGUAAUAAUUGUAGGAUUUUUAUUGGGCAUGGGAAGGCCAUUUUAAUUUUAAUUCUCUUUUCUCCUCCCCUUUCUUUAGUUGUAGAUUUUAUUUAUUUUACUUUGAACUUUUAAUUAUUUUAAUCAUAUUGAAAUAGAUUUAAUUAAUUAAACUUAGUAAAAAUACAUAUAGGGCAGCUUGGUAAAUUAAAAAGAUAAUGUAUAUAUUAGACUUAGAUUAGUUAAUUCUUUCUACUUGUUUUGUGAAUGUAAAUAAGUUUGUAUGAAAUAUGUAUGUAGGGCAAGGUGGUAAAAGGGUAACAUUACUAAAUUAGCAAUUUUACGUGUUAGGAAUUACUUGCGCAUGUACAUAGUUGAUUUGUUUGAAUUAAUUGUGUGUGUAACUUUAGACUUGCAUAAAUAUAUGAAUAAUAUGAAUAAGGAAUUAAAUAAAAGAAAUAAUAAGACAAACUUUAUGAUUCAUUAGUAGAGGAUAACCCUGGUUAUAAGAUAAGUCCAAGCAGAGAGGGUGUCUAACACUUUCCCUUUCUUGUAUCCACUAUUCGGAACUUAGGCCACUG